UACGUAGGUGGCAAGCGUUGUCCGGAAUUACUGGGUGUAAAGGGAGCGCAGGCGGGAAGCCAAGUCAGCUGUGAAAACUACGGGCUUAACUUGUAGACUGCAGUUGAAACUGGUUUUCUUGAGUGAAGUAGAGGUUGGCAGAAUUCCGAGUGUAGCGGUGAAAUGCGUAGAUAUUCGGAGGAACACCGGUGGCGAAGGCGGCCAACUGGGCUUUAACUGACGCUGAGGCUCGAAAGUGUGGGGAGCAAACAGG
This 253-nucleotide ribosomal RNA is filed under the name uncultured bacterium. RNAcentral describes it as "partial 16S ribosomal RNA". It matches the Rfam family "Bacterial small subunit ribosomal RNA", at positions 524 to 776 of the family's 1533-position model. The record is from RNAcentral.